Molecule: ribosomal RNA, 690 nt
Filed under: Bacillus sp. (in: firmicutes)
Lineage: Bacteria; Bacillati; Bacillota; Bacilli; Caryophanales; Bacillaceae
Description: bacterial SSU rRNA
Rfam family: Bacterial small subunit ribosomal RNA
Source: RNAcentral
UGAAGUCAGCGGCGGACGGGUGAGUAACACGUGGGCAACCUGCCUGUAAGACUGGGAUAACUCCGGGAAACCGGGGCUAAUACCGGAUAACUCUUUUCCUCACAUGAGGAAAAGCUGAAAGAUGGUUUCGGCUAUCACUUACAGAUGGGCCCGCGGCGCAUUAGCUAGUUGGUGAGGUAACGGCUCACCAAGGCCACGAUGCGUAGCCGACCUGAGAGGGUGAUCGGCCACACUGGGACUGAGACACGGCCCAGACUCCUACGGGAGGCAGCAGUAGGGAAUCUUCCGCAAUGGACGAAAGUCUGACGGAGCAACGCCGCGUGAGUGAUGAAGGUUUUCGGAUCGUAAAACUCUGUUGUCAGGGAAGAACAAGUACCGGAGUAACUGCCGGUACCUUGACGGUACCUGACCAGAAAGCCACGGCUAACUACGUGCCAGCAGCCGCGGUAAUACGUAGGUGGCAAGCGUUGUCCGGAAUUAUUGGGCGUAAAGCGCGCGCAGGCGGUUCCUUAAGUCUGAUGUGAAAGCCCCCGGCUCAACCGGGGAGGGUCAUUGGAAACUGGGGAACUUGAGUGCAGAAGAGAAGAGUGGAAUUCCACGUGUAGCGGUGAAAUGCGUAGAGAUGUGGAGGAACACCAGUGGCGAAGGCGACUCUUUGGUCUGUAACUGACGCUGAGGCGCGAAAGCGUG